RNAcentral lists this ribosomal RNA (257 nucleotides) under uncultured bacterium. RNAcentral describes it as "partial 16S ribosomal RNA". It matches the Rfam family "Bacterial small subunit ribosomal RNA", at positions 524 to 779 of the family's 1533-position model. The record is from RNAcentral.
UACGUAGGGUGCAAGCGUUAAUCGGAAUUACUGGGCGUAAAGCGUGCGCAGGCGGUUAUGUAAGACAGUUGUGAAAUCCCCGGGCUCAACCCUGGGAACUGCAUCUGUGACUGCAUAGCUAGAGUACGGUAGAGGGGGAUGGAAUUCCGCGUGUAGCAGUGAAAUGCGUAGAUAUGCGGAGGAACACCGAUGGCGAAGGCAAUCCCCUGGACCUGUACUGACGCUCAUGCACGAAAGCGUGGGGAGCAAACGAGGAU